ACUUGGCGCCGUCAUCACUUCGCUAGCUCUCUUUUGUCUUGGAUUUGUGACACCGACUCAUACCAGCCGAUGGGCUCAUCUCCACUCCAAACCAGUUCAAAUUUCCGCUAAAGGAGGUUGAUUCAUGCUCUCAGUACAAGACGAGGCUUCUCAUUAAAAGAAGACGAAGCAGUGUUUCACAUAGCUGGCUGCUAUUAUCACAAAUUAAUCAAUUCGGUGGGUUUGUUCUGGGAGCACUGUUUUGGAGUUUUGUUGUUGACAACUUCAGCUCAGAAGUUUGGAUGAUGUUCUUUACGGAAAGAGGAUUAAACAACCAUUUCUUGGAUUUGCAUAAUUACCGCAAGCAAGACUAGUGCUGUGGAUCACAACAUCUUGGGAGUUCUGUAGGUGGAUUCCAUCUGUAUUGGGACUGUCACCGGGGGAUGAAACUCUCAUAUCAAAAACCUGAACAGUCGUGCAAGUGUCAAAUUUGAGGUGAGUUGUUCCACCAGACUGAGCCUUGUCCAUCAACAACACCUUUACCUCUGACUGUAAUCCCUUGGAGCUUUGUGAAUUCAAGCCAUUGUAGGGUACCAGAUCCCCAAGCGUCAGAGCUUGUAGUAGCAAUGAUCUUACCAUCCAACUGCAGCAGGUUAGAGAAGUAAACCUCAGAGCUUUCAACCUUCCAAGCACUAAUCAAUUUGUUGAACUAUAUGAAUAAAUUCUAAGUUGAAAUUACUUCCAAUUGCUAAACCACUUAUCGCAUUGUGUGAAUAUAUAUAUAUAUAUAUUUUGUCACAAUGUGAAUAAUUGUAUUAAUAGUUGACACUAAUGUAUUAAUAGUUGUGGUAGUGAUGAUGGUGGUAGGGUCGUGGAGGUCAAGGUGGUAGUGGUGAUGGAGGUGGUAGUAGGGAUUAAUCUUCACCUUUUGAAAGUAACUUUUUUCAUUAGUUUUUGUUUUUCAUCAUACCAAGUGUUAAAAAUACAAAUAUAUAUAUAUAUAUAUAUAUAUAUAUUUCAAAAUAUAUUUUC
Camellia sinensis is the source of this 1011-nucleotide long non-coding RNA. RefSeq lists it as uncharacterized. NCBI's taxonomy places the organism in Eukaryota, Viridiplantae, Streptophyta, Magnoliopsida, Ericales, Theaceae. The record is from RefSeq and is a predicted model, not a curated record.